Molecule: long non-coding RNA, 290 nt
Organism: Sardina pilchardus (European sardine)
Lineage: Eukaryota; Metazoa; Chordata; Actinopteri; Clupeiformes; Clupeidae
Exons: 3
Source: RefSeq, a predicted model, not a curated record
CAGGAAGUCAGCUUUUGGUCCAGAUUUGGAGGAGUUGCUGAACAGACUUGAUGAUGAGGUAACGGACGUUGUGCGUCAUCGAAGGACCGCAGCACUGAGAGGCCUUCCCAUUUUUCUUCGAGAUGAUGCAUCAGACUUCUUUCUGAAGUGCUUGAACACAGACCCUGAGGAAGAGGUGGUUGAAGGAGUGCCAGUUGGAAUACUUACCGUCUAUGAAGAUGAUGAUAGCGCCACAGCACCACCAAUAGUGACCGAAAUCGCUGUCGUCUUGGAAGGGGCAGUAAUAAAAC